UCGAAAUAGGGUUAAACACAGUUUUUUUCUGCCUAAUUAUUUUUCAUGUGACUGGUUUACGUUGUUUUACUCUUAGUUAUUUCAUCCUUAUUUAUUUAUUUAUUUAUUUAUUUAUUUAUUUAUUUAUUUUUGCACCAUAAGUAAGGAGAGGGGAGAGGAUGAAGAGAUGGGUGCGAUGUUCCACGUCUGCCUACUCUCUACUAAGAGAGUUAAAUGUGUGCUGUUGCAGACACGGGAUACGCCUCUCCCAGUGAAGUGCCGCCCUGGCCUGGCACUGUCAGAAACCGCCACUGGCAUCGGCGAAGGAUUCCACUUCUGACACCAAUGCUACAACCUAGCUGGACUCUCCCAGACUUUGGAUGGAGUCAGCGUCCAAAUGGCGGAUGUAACAUGGAUUAAAACGGGAAAGGAUCUCAAAAGUGCAGCUCUCUGGUCUUGCAGGAGAGGUGCCCCUGCGGCUGCUCAGGGACACGGUAAAGGACGAAAGUGAAGGAUUCCUCCACCACAGACUUGGAACCAGCGAACCACUUCAGGCCAUCAGGAUCUACUUCUGUAAAACAAAUUUGAAUUUAUUACAAAACAAAACUUACAACAAUGUUAAAAUGUAAACUUUACAACUGAUAAGACAAAAACAUUCAUUCUAAGGAGGAAAAGUCUGCAGAUUCCUCCACCAGAUAAUUUGGAACCAGCGAACCAGUACAGAGGGCCAUCAGGAUCUACUUCUGUAAAAAAAAAGAGAAUAUUUUGAGUUCUGAUGGAACCCAGAACCAGUCCAGUAUGUAGACGCUACUCACUUUGGCCCUCUGGGGGAGGGGGAGCUUGAAAUCUUUGAAGAUCUCGUCCUCUGAGUACUCCCUGUCUGUAAAAUACACCCUCCGGAUCCAUCUGAUGAAGACGACAACCUAAGAUCAAUCAAUCUGCAGACAAACAUCCCCUCGCUGGCUUCACGUCCACAAAUCUGGAUCCGCAGUGUCUCGAUGUAGCUGGAUCCGAAGGAUGUAUUAGUUAUGUUUUGCAAGUCGAAAACCAGACGCCUCCACCCGUCUCCCUGGAAAGGCAGGUUUGCCCUGAAGUGGUCCACCUUCUUCUCUUUAUGGAUGGUGGACCACUUCAGCCACCAACG
Long non-coding RNA from Oryzias latipes (Japanese medaka), 1123 nucleotides. RefSeq lists it as uncharacterized. The record is from RefSeq and is a predicted model, not a curated record. NCBI's taxonomy places the organism in Eukaryota, Metazoa, Chordata, Actinopteri, Beloniformes, Adrianichthyidae.